AUUGAACGCUGGCGGCAUGCUUUACACAUGCGAGUCGAACGGCAGCGCGGGCUUCGGCCUGGCGGCGAGUGGCGAACGGGUGAGUAAUACAUCGGAACGUGCCCAGUAGUGGGGGAUAGCUCGGCGAAAGCCGGAUUAAUACCGCAUACGACCUGAGGGUGAAAGCGGGGGAUCUUCGGACCUCGCGCUGUUGGAGCGGCCGAUGGCAGAUUAGCUAGUUGGUGGGGUAAAGGCCUACCAAGGCGACGAUCUGUAGCUGGUCUGAGAGGACGACCAGCCACACUGGGACUGAGACACGGCCCAGACUCCUACGGGAGGCAGCAGUGGGGAAUUUUGGACAAUGGGCGAAAGCCUGAUCCAGCAAUGCCGCGUGUGUGAUGAAGGCCUUCGGGUUGUAAAGCACUUUUGGCGGGAACGAAAAGGACUGUGCCAAUACCACGGUUCGAUGACGGUACCCGCAGAAUAAGCACCGGCUAACUACGUG
Molecule: ribosomal RNA, 484 nt
Filed under: uncultured bacterium
Lineage: Bacteria
Description: partial 16S ribosomal RNA
Rfam family: Bacterial small subunit ribosomal RNA
Source: RNAcentral